GUCUUUGUGGCGCAAUGGAUAGCGCGUUGGACUUCUAAUUCAUGAGUUGUGGGUUCGAAUCCCACCUGAGAUG
This is a non-coding RNA of Trichonephila inaurata madagascariensis, 73 nucleotides long. The record is from the annotation of a GenBank genome assembly. NCBI's taxonomy places the organism in Eukaryota, Metazoa, Arthropoda, Arachnida, Araneae, Nephilidae.